Saccostrea cuccullata (small rock oyster) is the source of this 359-nucleotide long non-coding RNA. RefSeq lists it as uncharacterized. The transcript is spliced from 4 exons. NCBI's taxonomy places the organism in Eukaryota, Metazoa, Mollusca, Bivalvia, Ostreida, Ostreidae. The record is from RefSeq and is a predicted model, not a curated record.
CUCAUUUGAGAAUCGUCAGAAGCAACACCUCUGCAACUGCUCAAAUAAUUGCUGAUCAGUAUUUGCCACAGAGAUCCAAACCUUCAAGAUGAAAUCCUUCCUUUUAAUCGUGCUGUGUGUGGUCUUGAUAGCCUCGACCCAAGUUGCCAUGGCGGGACAUGGAUGUUAUUGUGUGUAUCAUAACGACAAAACAUGCAGUGAUUACUGCCAGGGCGAACUCAGCUGUAGAGGGGGGUAUUGUGGGUCGGCCUGGUGUGUCUGCAAGUGUGUUGGUUGUUAAAAGUAACUGGACAGGAAGAAAAUAAACCAGACAACAUAACAUAUGCCAAAUGAAUUUCUAUUAAACUAUUAAAGCAUCA